UUACGGCCAAAUCGCGUGGAAACAGCGGUUCCCGUAAGGUCAUCGAAGUUAAGCAACAUCGAGCCUGUUCAGUACCCAAGUGGGUGACCGCAUGAAAAUUCCAGCU
Molecule: non-coding RNA, 106 nt
Organism: Acanthosepion pharaonis
Lineage: Eukaryota; Metazoa; Mollusca; Cephalopoda; Sepiida; Sepiidae
Source: the annotation of a GenBank genome assembly